Molecule: ribosomal RNA, 509 nt
Filed under: Candida albicans
Lineage: Eukaryota; Fungi; Ascomycota; Pichiomycetes; Serinales; Debaryomycetaceae
Description: eukaryotic LSU rRNA
Rfam family: 5.8S ribosomal RNA (bases 142-295)
Source: RNAcentral
AAAAAGCAUUGCUUAUUGCACCACAUGUGUUUUUCUUUGAAACAAACUUGCUUUGGCGGUGGGCCCAGCCUGCCGCCAGAGGUCUAAACUUACAACCAAUUUUUUAUCAACUUGUCACACCAGAUUAUUACUAAUAGUCAAAACUUUCAACAACGGAUCUCUUGGUUCUCGCAUCGAUGAAGAACGCAGCGAAAUGCGAUACGUAAUAUGAAUUGCAGAUAUUCGUGAAUCAUCGAAUCUUUGAACGCACAUUGCGCCCUCUGGUAUUCCGGAGGGCAUGCCUGUUUGAGCGUCGUUUCUCCCUCAAACCGCUGGGUUUGGUGUUGAGCAAUACGACUUGGGUUUGCUUGAAAGACGGUAGUGGUAAGGCGGGAUCGCUUUGACAAUGGCUUAGGUCUAACCAAAAACAUUGCUUGCGGCGGUAACGUCCACCACGUAUAUCUUCAAACUUUGACCUCAAAUCAGGUAGGACUACCCGCUGAACUUAAGCAUAUCAAAAGCCGGAGGAA